This 633-nucleotide ribosomal RNA is filed under the name Triticum aestivum (bread wheat). RNAcentral's name for it is "partial small subunit ribosomal RNA". The record is from RNAcentral. Lineage: Eukaryota; Viridiplantae; Streptophyta; Magnoliopsida; Poales; Poaceae.
UAUGAAGUAUUUGAGAAAUUUCAGAAAGAGAUUAUUGCAGCAAGAGACCAUUGUUGUAUCCAAGGCAUUGCACAAGAUGAAGCAGUAAAAAUAGUGACUUUGAGAGGUCGAUCCCACAAGAUUAGGGAAGUUCGGUGCGACACCACAACCAUGAUAGCUAAUUGUUCAUGCAAGUUAUUUGAAACAAUUGGAAUCCCAUGUCGUCAUAUCAUCCAGGUGUUGAGGGCCGAAAAUCAAAAUGAACUUCCGUCCUACUACCUUAUGAAAAGAUGGGACAAACGGUGCAAAAGGGAGAAUGUGUAUGACGAGCAUGGGAAUUUACUAGAAGAGAAGGCAACCGACUCCUUGAAUGAGGCUACGAGGAAGAAGAUUUCGGUUGUACGCAACAAGUUGGAAGAUCUAAUUCAGAAGGCCAAGCACUCAGAUGAAGGAAUGGAUUUUCUAACAUCAAGUGUGCUGAAUAUUGAAGCACCUUUGGAUGAAAUGGUUCCUACAUCAGGUGUGAAGCAGACUAGACAAGCUGAGUAUGAGGCUUUUAUUGGUUGCAAUAUUCCUACUGAAAUUGAUAUACACCCACCAACUGAUGUUCGUACGGUUGGAAGAUGCAAAAGAAUAAAGGGAGGAAAGGAAACA